Molecule: long non-coding RNA, 2869 nt
Filed under: Homo sapiens (human)
Lineage: Eukaryota; Metazoa; Chordata; Mammalia; Primates; Hominidae
Description: non-protein coding lnc-RUFY4-5:1
Source: RNAcentral
AUGGACAAGACAACACCAAAAAUUUAUUUGGUGUAGCUCAGUGGAACUAAAAAUGUAGAGAAAAAAGAGCCAAAGGGAGAGGCAAGGAAAAGUACAGGCGCCGGAAGAACAAUUGCUUGGAACUCAAAAACAAUCACCAGAAAGAGAAACACAGGAAAGAACUUGACCUGGAUGACCACAAAUUCAGCAAUAAGGAAUUGAAAGAUAAAUAUGGUGCAAACAUACAGGUCUCUCCAGCAUGAGAGCUUCAGAGCUCCUGGCUUGGGAUCACCCUAAUUUAGGCCUCUCAAAGAAACAUCAAAGAUUGUCAAGUUUCGGUGCCAGCAUUCUUCAUCCCUCUGUGGCAUUCCUGUGCUGGGUUGCAUUUAGCAUUCAGUACUCCUGUGAUAAGUCUGUGUCCCUAGACAAUGUGUAUGUGAGUUCUGUGCUUACUCUGGUUGCGGGGAUCUUUGCUUAUUACCAAGAGGUGAAAAACACCAAUAUCAUGGCCACCUUCAGUAAAAUUAUUCUUCAGCAAGCUCUUGUUGUCUGAGAUACAGAGAAGAAUGCAACUUCUGCAUAACAGUUGGUAACCAGGAUACAGUGAAGAUUAAAGGAUAACACUAAAUUCCUACAGAUAUCAGGUUGCUGGCUUUUCAGAGAGGUAGGGUAGAUAACUCAUCUAUCAAUGGGAUGUCCAAGCCACAGUCCUGCUCAUGUGACUUGUCUCAUGACAAUCCCCUGGAAAUAAAAAAUACUGUCUUCUCUUCCACAACCUGUUUAGAAGGCACAGCAACUGGCACAGUUGCCAACACAGGCAAUGGCACCAUCAUUGGACAGAUGGCCUCACUGACUUCAGAAGCUGGAAAUGAGAAGAUACUCAUUGCCAGUGAGAUCAAGCACCUUGCUUGCAUUGUGGCAGGAAUUCAUAGGCAUCCUUUUCUUCAUCAUCAGUGUCCAUGAAGUAUCAUGCAUUGAACCCUUCCAUCUUCCUCACUGGCGUCACGUGGCCAAUGUACCUAAGGGCCUCCUUGUCACUGUCACUUUCACUCUGUUACUGACAGAAAAUGGAUGGCCAAGUAGAACUGCCUGGUAAGAACCUGGAAGUGCUGGAGACCCCCAGUUCCACCCCAUCAUUUGCACUGACAAGACUGGCACUCUGACUCACAACAGGAUCCAUCCAUGGUGUAACAGAUUAAUGUGGCUGACACACGUGAAGAACAGUCAACCCAAGUCUUUGCCCGAGGCUCUGGAAUCUGGGACUCCUUAUUCAUGAUAAUAUUGUGUAACCAUGUUGAGUUCAAACCAGGACAGGAAAGUGUUCUCAACAUGGAGAAAGUUGUGGUUGAAGAUGCCCCAGAAACUGCCCUUGGAAAUUCUCAGCAGUCAUUUUGGGUGAUGUCAUGGAAAUUAGAAAAUGAAACUGCAAAGUAGCCAGGCUGAAAUCCCUUUUGACUCUACCAACAAGUUUCAGCUCCUCAUACAUCAGCUGAUGAUCCCAAUAAUAAAUGCUUUCUCAUGGUGAUGAAGGGUCCCUGGAGAUCUCAGUGAAGUGCAGCCGAAGGACAUAAGUCAGGAAUAGCUGAGUGAGCUGUUAAAGAUCCUCUCAGAAGCCAUCUUUGCUCAGACCUCUGACCAACAGAAACUGGGUGAGCUGUCAGAGACAGGAUGCUUUGACAGAGAAUGGAGUCAAUGCUCUAAAUAGGUAGAUAUCAGGAUUGCCAUGAGAAAAGCAGGUCCUGACGUAGUAAGAAUUCAGGGUACACAGCCUUAAUGAACAACAAUGUGACAACUUUGCAUCUACAGUCACAAGAUGAAGGAAGGUUACCUACUCUUUGACAACCUACAGAUUACUGCUUACACUUCAAGAACAUUGCUGGUUUGUUGUUGUUGUUGUUGUUGUUGUUGUUGUUGUUGUUGUUGUUUGAGAUGGAGUCUCGCUCUGUUGCCCAGGCUGGAGUGCAGGGGUGCCAUCUUGGCUCACUGCAAGCUCCACCUCCCGGGUUCACGCCAUUCUCCUGCCUCAGCCUCCUGCGUAGCUGGGACUACAGGCGACGGCCACCAGGCCUGGCUAAUUUUUUGUAUUUUUAGUAGAGAUGGGGUUUCACCAUUCACAGGAUGGUCUCGAUCUCCUGACCUCAUGAUCCACCGGCCUCAGCCUCCCAAAGUGCUGGGAUUACAGGCCUGAGCCACCGCGCCGGCCAUUGCUGGGUUUUUAAAUCUACAUUAUUGUUGGGCUCACCCUGCCCACUGACACCAUUACCAUCUUGGUUCAUCAACUUGGACACAGACAUAAUUCCCUCAUUGCCUUAGCUUAUAAGAAAGCUGAAAGUGACCUUAUGAACCAGUGUGCCACAAGAAGGACAGACUGGUGAACAAGCCACUUGCCAUGUACUCUCCUUUCACAUUGGCUUCACAUGAGGCCUGGGAGCUUCUGUUGUGUAUCUCACCAUUUAUGCCCAGGAAGAGUUUAGACCCAGUGCUCUCAUUGACCUCUGGGUCAAAUGGGAAAAGAACAGCAUGAAUGACUAGGAAGACAGUAUGGACAAGAAUGGGCAAGAUGCCAGAGGAGAUACCAAAAAAGGACAGACUACGCAGCCACCCUCAGUGGCAUUCUGAUCCAGCAAAUAGUCUAAUAGGGCAUCAGAAAAACUCAAGCAAUCUCAUCUUCCAGCAAGGUCUUUUCAGAAAUAAAGCCAUCGAGGUAGAGAUUGACUUACAGGUUAUCAUAGCAUUAAUACUCUCCCACUGGGAGUGUCAAAGCCCUGAAUUUCACUAUGCUCAAAAUUGGUUUGUAGAAAUGCCACAUGACAUUCUUAUUUGGGUGUAUAAUGAUAUGAAAACUUUUCAUCAGGCUUUACUGUGGAAGCUGUUGGGAUAAUAUACCACU